Molecule: ribosomal RNA, 500 nt
Filed under: uncultured bacterium
Lineage: Bacteria
Description: partial 16S ribosomal RNA
Rfam family: Bacterial small subunit ribosomal RNA
Source: RNAcentral
AUUGAACGCUGGCGGCAUGCCUUACACAUGCAGGUCGAACGGCAGCACGGGAGCAAUCCUGGUGGCGAGUGGCGAACGGGUGAGUAAUAUAUCGGAACGUGCCCAGUCGUGGGGGAUAACGUAGCGAAAGCUACGCUAAUACCGCAUACGAUCUAUGGAUGAAAGCGGGGGAUCGCAAGACCUCGCGCGAUUGGAGCGGCCGAUAUCAGAUUAGGUAGUUGGUGAGGUAAAGGCUCACCAAGCCGACGAUCUGUAGCUGGUCUGAGAGGACGACCAGCCACGCUGGGACUGAGACACGGCCCAGACUCCUACGGGAGGCAGCAGUGGGGAAUUUUGGACAAUGGGCGCAAGCCUGAUCCAGCAAUGCCGCGUGCAGGAUGAAGGCCUUCGGGUUGUAAACUGCUUUUGUACGGAACGAAACGGCGAGCUCUAAUACAGUUUGCUAAUGACGGUACCGUAAGAAUAAGCACCGGCUAACUACGUGCCAGCCGCCGCUGUAA